Molecule: ribosomal RNA, 487 nt
Filed under: uncultured bacterium
Lineage: Bacteria
Description: bacterial SSU rRNA
Rfam family: Bacterial small subunit ribosomal RNA
Source: RNAcentral
AGUGAACGCUGGCGGCGUGCUUAACACAUGCAAGUCGAACGGUAACAGGAACUAGCUUGCUAGUUUGCUGACGAGUGGCGCACGGGUGAGUAAUAUAUAGUUAAUGUACCCCAAAGACUGGGAUAGCCACUGGAAACGGUGAUUAAUACUAGAUACACCUCUUUAAUAUAAGUUAGAGAGGGAAAUGUCUUUUCGCUUUGGGAUCAGACUAUAUCCUAUCAGUUAGUUGGUGAGGUAAUGGCUCACCAAGGCAAUGACGGGUAGCGGUUCUGAGAGGAUGAUCCGCCACACUGGUACUGAGACACGGACCAGACUCCUACGGGAGGCAGCAGUGAGGAAUAUUGCACAAUGGGGGGAACCCUGAUGCAGCAACGCCGCGUGGAGGAUGACGCAUUUCGGUGUGUAAACUCCUUUUAUAUGUCAAGAAAAUGACGGUAGCAUAUGAAUAAGCACCGGCUAACUCCGUGCCAGCAGCCGCGGUAAAGUA